GAUGUGUGUUGUAUCGACCAGAAGCAAGACCAAAAGGGGAAAACCCUAGUUUUGAAGGAUUCUCAAGAUUAAGAGGAAAUUGAGAGCUCAAAUCAAUGCUAGAACCCGAAUUGUCAACCAUCUAAGCUCGAGCAACAAUAGGCGUGAAGGAAGAAAGCUCUAACACUAGUCAAGCGGGAGGUGUACAAGAUCGAGGUAAAGCACCUCUAUAGGCGAUAUGGAGAUAUGGAACGAGCACAUGUUCAAGCCUUAUAAUACCAAGCGCUUCCGCAACUUAUAUGCAUGUUUUUGGGUUUGAAAAUUUGUUAUUUUCGUUGGAAUGGUUUUAUGUAAAAUGGGUCGUAUGUAAACGUUGUAUGUUAUGUCAAAACAGGGGGUAUGUCCGUUUUGCAAACGGGUCAUGCCCAAUUUUUGUAAAAAUUUCUUUAAGUGUUAAAGUGGUA
This 443-nucleotide long non-coding RNA is filed under the name Helianthus annuus (common sunflower). Its description in RNAcentral is "sRNA HanXRQr2_Chr08g0358571". Lineage: Eukaryota; Viridiplantae; Streptophyta; Magnoliopsida; Asterales; Asteraceae. The record is from RNAcentral.